CAUCUGACACCUGGCAGUUCUUGGGAAAUACCUGCACACGAAUGGAGGCAAGGCCUCUCUCCAGAGGAGGACGCUGAAGAGGUGAAAAGUGAGCCUCCUGCUCUCCCUUUGAGGCAAUUUGGCAUAGCCUGGGUUCUCAGAUCAGACGGAAGUGGGUUCAGUUCUUGGCUCGGAGCGACCUUAGACCGCUGGUUGAAAUCCUUCUGGGCCUGUUCCUGCCUCUGGACAGUGGGAAUGUACUGAGACUACCUCUCAGGAUUGCCACUACAGGAGGCGAGAGGGACACCUAACCUCAUCUCCGCUGGGCACAGAGACGGCUUCUCAGAAGAAGCGAUAUCUACACAAAGUCCUAAAGACCAAGGGGUCAGUGUGGACCACGAGGACUGAAGAUGGGGUUGAAGAAUGGAGGAGAAUAAUUGAAAGCAGCAACUGGAACAGAUAUUUGUACAUCUCUAUUUAUUUGCAGCAUUGUUCAGAACAGGCAAAAGGUAGAAAGAACCCAAAUAUCCAUCCACAGGUUAACGGAUAAAAAAAUGUGAUGUAUACAUACAGUGGAAUAUUAUUAAGCCGUUAAAAGGGAAGGGAAAGGAAUGCUGACACAUGCCACACCAUGGGUGAACCUUAAAGACCUGCUAAGUUAAAUAAGCCAGACACAAAAGGACAAACACUGUAAGAUUCCACUUAUAUAAGGUCCCUAGAGUCAUCAGAUUCAUAGAGACAGAAAGCAGAAUGAUGGGUGCCAGGGGCUGGGGGGAUGGGGAGGUGGUGUUUGAUGGGGACCGAAUUUCAGUUUGGGAAGAUGAAAAAGUUCUGGAGGUAGAUGGUGGUGAUGGUUGUACAACAAUAUGAGUGUAUUUAAUGCCACUGAGCUGUACAUUUAAAAAUGGUUAAAAUGG
RNAcentral lists this long non-coding RNA (896 nucleotides) under Equus caballus (horse). RNAcentral's name for it is "lncRNA (ENSECAG00000046228.1)". Lineage: Eukaryota; Metazoa; Chordata; Mammalia; Perissodactyla; Equidae. The record is from RNAcentral.